RNAcentral lists this ribosomal RNA (784 nucleotides) under Klebsiella pneumoniae. RNAcentral describes it as "bacterial SSU rRNA". It matches the Rfam family "Bacterial small subunit ribosomal RNA", at positions 33 to 806 of the family's 1533-position model. Lineage: Bacteria; Pseudomonadati; Pseudomonadota; Gammaproteobacteria; Enterobacterales; Enterobacteriaceae. The record is from RNAcentral.
CCGUUGGCGGCGGCCUAACACAUGCAAGUCGAGCGGUAGCACAGAGAGCUUGCUCUCGGGUGACGAGCGGCGGACGGGUGAGUAAUGUCUGGGAAACUGCCUGAUGGAGGGGGAUAACUACUGGAAACGGUAGCUAAUACCGCAUAAUGUCGCAAGACCAAAGUGGGGGACCUUCGGGCCUCAUGCCAUCAGAUGUGCCCAGAUGGGAUUAGCUAGUAGGUGGGGUAACGGCUCACCUAGGCGACGAUCCCUAGCUGGUCUGAGAGGAUGACCAGCCACACUGGAACUGAGACACGGUCCAGACUCCUACGGGAGGCAGCAGUGGGGAAUAUUGCACAAUGGGCGCAAGCCUGAUGCAGCCAUGCCGCGUGUGUGAAGAAGGCCUUCGGGUUGUAAAGCACUUUCAGCGGGGAGGAAGGCGUUAAGGUUAAUAACCUUGUCGAUUGACGUUACCCGCAGAAGAAGCACCGGCUAACUCCGUGCCAGCAGCCGCGGUAAUACGGAGGGUGCAAGCGUUAAUCGGAAUUACUGGGCGUAAAGCGCACGCAGGCGGUCUGUCAAGUCGGAUGUGAAAUCCCCGGGCUCAACCUGGGAACUGCAUUCGAAACUGGCAGGCUAGAGUCUUGUAGAGGGGGGUAGAAUUCCAGGUGUAGCGGUGAAAUGCGUAGAGAUCUGGAGGAAUACCGGUGGCGAAGGCGGCCCCCUGGACAAAGACUGACGCUCAGGUGCGAAAGCGUGGGGAGCAAACAGGAUUAGAUAUCGUGUGAAAAAACUACACACAAAA